AAGUCGUAACAAGGUUUCCGCAGGUGAACCUGCGGAAGGAUCAUUAACACGUAUCCAACGUUAAACCCCCCCGUGAAUAUUAAGCGUGCUCUUGCUGCCCGGUCAAUGGCCAGCAAUCCCUGGUAAAUCAUGUCGAACAGUAUUGAUUCAGGGACUUCUGCCCGACGAGGUUACAGCGGCAAUAGAGCGCUUGAAGCAAGUGGUUUGGUUUCCCCUCAAAUUCACUUCAAUGAAUGAAAGUGUCAUUGAAGUGUGAUGGGGCUUAACGAACACUGUAGGCCAACACUGGCCGGUGUCCAGACCGCGGGGCGCAAGCCCCCUUAUCACCACAUGUCAGCGUAGGCCCUUCUGUCGUGGUUGGGCAUUAAAACGAACAACUGUUAACAAUGGAUAUCUUGGUUCUC
RNAcentral lists this unclassified non-coding RNA (404 nucleotides) under fungal sp. Its description in RNAcentral is "partial internal transcribed spacer region". The stretch from base 1 to 46 matches the Rfam family "Eukaryotic small subunit ribosomal RNA", at positions 1786 to 1831 of the family's 1831-position model. The record is from RNAcentral. Lineage: Eukaryota; Fungi.